This 482-nucleotide ribosomal RNA is filed under the name uncultured bacterium. RNAcentral describes it as "partial 16S ribosomal RNA". It matches the Rfam family "Bacterial small subunit ribosomal RNA", at positions 29 to 506 of the family's 1533-position model. The record is from RNAcentral.
UUGAACGCUGGCGGCAUGCUUUACACCUGCAAGUCGAACGGCAGCGCGGGCUUCGGCCUGGCGGCGAGUGGCGAACGGGUGAGUAAUACAUCGGAACGUGCCCAGUAGUGGGGGAUAGCUCGGCGAAAGCCGGAUUAAUACCGCAUACGACCUGAGGGUGAAAGCGGGGGAUCUUCGGACCUCGCGCUAUUGGAGCGGCCGAUGGCAGAUUAGCUAGUUGGUGGGGUAAAGGCCUACCAAGGCGACGAUCUGUAGCUGGUCUGAGAGGACGACCAGCCACACUGGGACUGAGACACGGCCCAGACUCCUACGGGAGGCAGCAGUGGGGAAUUUUGGACAAUGGGCGAAAGCCUGAUCCAGCAAUGCCGCGUGUGUGAUGAAGGCCUUCGGGUUGUAAAGCACUUUUGGCGGGAACGAAAAGGACUGUGCCAAGACCACGGUUCGAUGACGGUACCCGCAGAAUAAGCACCGGCUAACUACGU